CUCCCGUUGUCUCGCGUUCCGCCGUUGCUCUGGUGCCCUGGACUGCUGUGAAUGUGUUUUUAUGCCCUACUAGUGUUGCCUGGGGGUGCUUUUAUGUGUGCACCCUGGAAGAUAGGUCCAGAAGCCUUGCGAUUUCUUAGAUUAAAGCUAAGUGUACUCGUGGCCCUACCAGCACUUUUCAAGGUGAAGAUGCAACAUCGUCAGUGGCCCCGUUACUAAUGUCUAAUCUAUGAAUUUCAGAUACUUUCGACGUAUUCAUUGCGGUGAACAACGCGGUUGGGACAGCACACUCACGACGUGGGAAGGUCACAGAAAUGUUGAAAGACAUCAGAUUGGGCAUACGCUUCACCCGUGCAACUUCGUCAUGUGCUCCACGGCAGCACAAGCCUUUACGGCUGUGCCACUAUGUGUGGAAACGUCGUAGCGGAUGAAUGUGAAUUAUGGA
Molecule: long non-coding RNA, 445 nt
Organism: Ornithodoros turicata
Lineage: Eukaryota; Metazoa; Arthropoda; Arachnida; Ixodida; Argasidae
Exons: 4
Source: RefSeq, a predicted model, not a curated record